GACGAACGCUGGCGGCGUGCCUAACACAUGCAAGUCGAACGGGAGCAAGUGCUUCGGUAUUUGCUUUAGUGGCGAACGGGUGAGUAACGCGUGAAUAACCUGCCUUUCAGUGGGGGACAACAGUCGGAAACGACUGCUAAUACCGCAUAAGCCCACAGCACCGCAUGGUGCAGCGGGAAAAGGAUUUAUUCGCUUCAGGAUGGACUCGCGUCCAAUUAGCUAGUUGGUGAGGUAACGGCCCACCAAGGCGACGAUUGGUAGCCGGACUGAGAGGUUGAACGGCCUACAUUGGGACUGAGAUACGGCCCAG
RNAcentral lists this ribosomal RNA (310 nucleotides) under uncultured bacterium. RNAcentral's name for it is "bacterial SSU rRNA". It matches the Rfam family "Bacterial small subunit ribosomal RNA", at positions 28 to 334 of the family's 1533-position model. The record is from RNAcentral.